AGGCUAAAACUCUAGAAAACUCACUAGAAAUCUUGCACCCACUUUUCUUUUUUUUCUUUUUUUUUUCUCUUGGAAUGAUAUGGACUUCCUUCUCACGCACAAAACUUCCUCACGCCCUAGAAUUUUUCUCCAAAAAUCUUCUUCCUACACGCCCCACUCUCUUCUCCUCCUUUUAUAACAACGUCAAACGUCUUAUCCAAAAGAAAG
Molecule: long non-coding RNA, 207 nt
Filed under: Elaeis guineensis (African oil palm)
Lineage: Eukaryota; Viridiplantae; Streptophyta; Magnoliopsida; Arecales; Arecaceae
Description: long non-coding RNA (EGUI_LNC010028)
Source: RNAcentral